UAUCCUUCCCACUGCUGCAGAGUGCAACUGUUUUCUUUCUUGUCGUUUGCUUGGGGCCUGAUUUCCAGCCGCGUGUCCUUCAGAGGGGUUUCUCAGUGGGUUAACCACACCCUCCCCGGAAGUGCUUGGUCAGGAUAUUUGUCGCUUCUUUGCAGCCAUGGAAAUGCACACAGGGAUUGAAAGGCCCACUUUAUGCAACGUUGCUCAAAGGAUUUGAGGAUUCCAUUACUGCACAAAUCCUUUAAUUAAAGCUGGUUCCUCCAGGCCCCUGUUGCCCGGGCCCAAUCCACAGCGUCCCUGGCGACCUUGGGCGGGUUGAUUAAUUGAGGAGCUGGCAGUGCCACCAUUCCUUCAAAGAUCCCACGAUAUAUCUGUUAAAACAGAAAUGCCUCCGGACACCAUAUGGUCCUGAGUUUGCAGUGGCUCUUAAAAUUUAUCUGCCACGUCUCCCCCGUGUGACUAACGCCGGCUGCCUUCUACUCGCUAGCUGAUUUGACCCAUCGCCCUGCCUCUCAGAGGCAGAGAACUUGCCAGCAAGGAGGUAUUUGGGGAAAACUCAAGAGGGCGUUUUUUUUGCAAUCUGGCAAUAAGAAGAACAUUCUCCGCUGGGCCCGAGUCACUGUUGAUAUCAAAGUGGCCAGAGUUUUGCAAAAUCUCUCUGCCUCGGCUUCUCAGGGAGGCAGCGAUAAGCAAUUAUAUCUGGGAAGUAACCAACAUCUCCAUUCUGCUGAGGAGAAGAGCCAGGGGAAGGGAAACUGUGUAGCAUAGAAAAAUCAGUGCCCUGAGGAUAACACUCUAGUAAAACUGAGCUCUGAGGCAUCUUUUCAGAAACCUGAGAAAUGAGAGAAUUUAACCAAAGGCGAACUUAAAAAAUUUUUUUAACGUUUAUUUAUUUUUGAAAGAGAGAGACAGAGACACAGAGAGACAGAGAGUGAGCUGAGGACGGGCAGAGAGAGAGGGAGACACAGAAUCCAGAGCAGGUUUCAGGCUCUGAGCUGUCUGCACAGAGCCAGACGCAGGGCUGGAACUCCUGAACCACGAGAUCAUGACCUGAGCUGAAGUCGGAUACUUAACCGAUUGAGCCACCCGGGUGCCCCAAACUUCUAAAGUUGUCUAAAGGAGAGUGGCUUCUGCGACGUUUGUCCAUCUGCGUGCAAUGCCAUCAUCGCGGAUCUGGGCGUGCCUGUUUGAGAGAAGGAGCUUGCUAGAAUCUGUGUAACAGACGAAGAAUUCAAAGUAGCCGAGGCAAUCCUGGAGGAAAGAGGUAGGGAGGCCAGAGAGGGGAGGAAGAGGGAGGAGGCUGUCAAGGAGACAGAAGCCUGUGAAGCUGGGUUCUGACUCCUGUCUGGGAACCAUAUCCCUCCACCAGAAGAUCCCACCCAUCGGGGUGCUUUAAAAUGUUUUUAAGUUGUUUAAAAGUGUGUUUGUUUGCUUAGAGAGAGCAAGCGGGGGAGGGACAGAGGGAGAGGCAGAGGGAGAGAAUCCCAAGCCAGCAGGCUCCGAACUAUCGGCGCAGAACCCGAGGCAGGGCUGGAAUUCACAAACCUCGAGAUCACGACCUGAGCUGAAGUCGGUUGCUUAACCGACUGAGCCGCCCAGACAUCCCAGAAGUAGGUUUCUUCUAAAUGGAGGCAAACAUUUAUCGGAAUCCUCGCUGCAAGGGAUGCAGAUGGCUAGUGUUUGAGACCUUCAUCUGUGGCGCAGGAGGAAAAGCAGUUACUGGGUUGAAUAACAAGUACCGGAAACGUCUUUGGCGUAUAGACAACGGCAUCCACACGUGUACUCGUCUGUCCACGAAGACCUGCGCAUUUACGUGCGUAGAAGUGAGGAGAUUCAAUACGUGGAUUCAGAGGAGUAUGUUUGGCUGCUUCCCAAUGAAGUGUGAAGUGUUCUAAGAGACAACACAGGACAAUUUCCUCUGAUGGCGAAGUUUUCCGAAGAGUGAUUGCUUCACUCUUUCUGGGCUUUUGCUGCUCUGACUUCGGAGUGAUAUUGAACGGACGCGGAGCUCUAGGUCUGGCAUCUUUGAAGACACUGCAGAGGUUGGGAGGCAUGUUGGCUCAACCUUGUCUUCAGUUUAAAGCAUUUUUUUAAAUGUCCUUCUUUUUAAAAAAUGGUCGCAUAAUAACAUAUGAACAAAUAAUAAACAGCUGCCAUUGAUCAAGCACUUACCCUGUG
Molecule: long non-coding RNA, 2178 nt
Organism: Felis catus (domestic cat)
Lineage: Eukaryota; Metazoa; Chordata; Mammalia; Carnivora; Felidae
Exons: 3
Source: RefSeq, a predicted model, not a curated record